RNAcentral lists this microRNA precursor (115 nucleotides) under Nicotiana tabacum (common tobacco). RNAcentral's name for it is "miR399c stem-loop (nta-MIR399c)". Its record names the gene nta-MIR399c. The record is from miRBase by way of RNAcentral. Lineage: Eukaryota; Viridiplantae; Streptophyta; Magnoliopsida; Solanales; Solanaceae.
AAUAGUGAUAGGGCUACUCUCUAUUGGCAUGCACUUAUAUAUGUAUAGUGACUCAACUUGAUAUCAUAACAUAUUCAGCUGACACGCCAAAGGAGAGCUGCCCUGUUACUGUCUC